ACAUACUUCCUUAUCACUCCAUACCUGCUUUGGAAUCUGUAUGGAAUGUAAUGAAGUAUGUAU
Molecule: microRNA precursor, 63 nt
Filed under: Ptychodera flava
Lineage: Eukaryota; Metazoa; Hemichordata; Enteropneusta; Ptychoderidae
Description: Pfl-Mir-1_pre stem-loop
Source: RNAcentral